UCAUCUUUUAUUUGCAGUUACAUUAAGAAGCUCAUAGAGGACAGAGCGGUUGGUGAGGAAGGUGUCGAGUUACUGCUGUACUGCAACUGGGAAAAUCCGCAUUUCGCACGUGCUCCACUCGUAUGGAAUAGUAGCUUAUGUCGAAAGGCUGGUUUUAGUAUAAUGCAGCAUUCGCAGCAUACCCUCACUGUCGCCGAGCCGUUGAAGAAAUUUUGGAUAAAUAAACGUACAAGAAAUAGUUCUGAUACUAGCACGUCCAUAUUCUUGCUAAGGGUCAUCAAAAAAUUCCAUGUGUUGUAAAUAAUAAAGGGAAUGCCGGAUUAUACUAAAGCCAGCUUCCCGACAUAAACUACUAUUCCAUACGAACACAGAAAUAUAAAUGUAUCUAAAACUGAAUAACUCAAAUCAAAUUGGAUUGCAUUUGCAUAAUAUACCUAAUAUUGGAAUCUGUUUUGAUCGUAAAAAAUACAACUUGCAAUCAUUUAGAUUAUAGUUUUGAAAGAAAUUGAUUGCAAUCGUAAAUUAUGUAAAAAUUGUCAAUAACAAUCUGCCUAAAAUUUCUUUUCUACAUUUAAAGUAUUUUAU
Long non-coding RNA from Rhagoletis zephyria (snowberry fruit fly), 585 nucleotides. RefSeq lists it as uncharacterized. The record is from RefSeq and is a predicted model, not a curated record. Lineage: Eukaryota; Metazoa; Arthropoda; Insecta; Diptera; Tephritidae.